RNAcentral lists this ribosomal RNA (119 nucleotides) under Helianthus annuus (common sunflower). The record is from RNAcentral. Lineage: Eukaryota; Viridiplantae; Streptophyta; Magnoliopsida; Asterales; Asteraceae.
GGUUGCGAUCAUACCAGCACUAAUGCACCGGAUCCCAUCAGAACUCUGCAGUUAAACAUGCUUGGGCGAGAGUAGUACUAGGAUGGGUGACCCCCUGGGAAGUCCUCGUGUUGCAACCC